CCUACGGGUGGCAGCAGUGGGGAAUAUUGGACAAUGGGCGAAAGCCUGAUCCAGCCAUGCCGCGUGAGUGAAGAAGGCCUUCGGGUUGUAAAGCUCUUUCGACGGGGAGGCGGUACCCGUAUAAGAAGCCCCGGCAAACUUCGUGCCAGCAGCCGCGGUAAUACGAAGGGGGCUAGCGUUGUUCGGAAUUACUGGGCGUAAAGCGAACGUAGGCGGUGUUCUUUGUCAGAGGUGAAAGCCUGGGGCUCAACUCCAGAAUUGCCUUUGAAACGGGGACGCUUGAGUCCGAGAGAGGGUGGCGGAAUUCCUAGUGUAGAGGUGAAAUUCGUAGAUAUUAGGAAGAACACCAGUGGCGAAGGCGGCCACCUGGCUCGGACUGACGCUCAGGUUCGAAAGCGUGGGGAGCAAACAGGAUUAGAUACCCUUGUAGUC
RNAcentral lists this ribosomal RNA (432 nucleotides) under uncultured bacterium. RNAcentral's name for it is "partial 16S ribosomal RNA". It matches the Rfam family "Bacterial small subunit ribosomal RNA", at positions 338 to 795 of the family's 1533-position model. The record is from RNAcentral.